GCCCACUUGAUGGAAUUGGUAGACAUAAGGCACUUAAAAUGCCUAGCUUAAUGCGUACCGGUUCGAGUCCGGUAGUGGGUACCA
RNAcentral lists this transfer RNA (84 nucleotides) under Rhizobium phage RHph_TM61. RNAcentral's name for it is "tRNA-Leu". It matches the Rfam family "tRNA". From Rfam's summary of the family: Transfer RNA (tRNA) molecules are approximately 80 nucleotides in length. Their secondary structure includes four short double-helical elements and three loops (D, anti-codon, and T loops). The record is from RNAcentral. Lineage: Duplodnaviria; Heunggongvirae; Uroviricota; Caudoviricetes; Kleczkowskaviridae. RNAcentral also lists the same sequence under 4 other names.